UGAGGAAUAUUGGUCAAUGGGCGAGAGCCUGAACCAGCCAAGUAGCGUGCAGGAUGACGGCCCUAUGGGUUGUAAACUGCUUUUAUAUGGGAAUAAAGUGAGGGACGUGUCCCUUAUUGCAUGUACCAUACGAAUAAGGACCGGCUAAUUCCGUGCCAGCAGCCGCGGUAAUACGGAAGGUCCAGGCGUUAUCCGGAUUUAUUGGGUUUAAAGGGAGCGUAGGCUGUUUGUUAAGCGUGUUGUGAAAUGUAAGAGCUCAACUUUUAGAUUGCAGCGCGAACUGGCAGACUUGAGUGCGCACAACGUAGGCGGAAUUCAUGGAGUAGCGGUGAAAUGCUUAGAUAUCAUGACGAACUCCGAUUGCGAAGGCAGCUUACGGGAGCGCAACUGACGCUAAAGCUCGAAGGUGCGGGUAUCGAACAGG
Molecule: ribosomal RNA, 424 nt
Filed under: Verrucomicrobiota bacterium
Lineage: Bacteria; Pseudomonadati; Verrucomicrobiota
Description: Verrucomicrobia bacterium partial 16S ribosomal RNA
Rfam family: Bacterial small subunit ribosomal RNA
Source: RNAcentral